GAUCUGAGCGAAGAAGACCGCCAGGAUCAUCGCCAGGACCGUCACCAGGUACACCUGACGCCAGUACUGCCGGGGACAAGAAGGUCAAAGGUCAAAUCAUGCUGCAGUUACAGGUUCUUGCUCAGCUGAGAUGAACUUACAUUAUUGCAGUAGAAGGUGUAGAAGACUCCGGGGACGUAGCAGCCCAGGAUGCCGAUGGAGACACCGGCGUAAUCCAGCGCCAUCCAGCGGCGGCUGGUCUUCUCUGAGCGAUGGCAGCAGAACAGGUGGUAACCCACCGAGCACAGCAUGCACAGCUGAGGAGCGAUCAGGUCUACUUGUUCAGCUCCUGCAGCUUCGACAGAGAUACCACCAUCACCUUACAGACCAACAGGUGUCACCACUUCUUCCAUGACAUUAUCCACGAUUGCCAAGACGACAUCCAUGAUCACAGAGACAUUGUCGAGGAUGAAGGAGAUAUUAUCCAUAAUCUCGGAGAUGAUGUCUGUAAUCACAGAGAUGUAGUCCACGAUUGCAGAGAGUCUUCAUACAAUCAAGAAGUUCUUUGAGAAGAUCAAGGCCUCCUGGAGGAGAAGAUCGCAUCACCUGAAGAGGACAACGAAAGUAGUUAAAUGUUAUUAAAGAUGUUUAGAGAUGUAUAAGUCUUUAAGUUUAUCCUUAUGCUCAUCACUACAUUAAAUGUGGGGUUAGAGAAUAAAAAAAUGUGUCCUCAAGUGCUCAAAUGUUUGUCAUUUGCUGUGGUUUGUUAAAUAUUGUC
Lates calcarifer (barramundi perch) is the source of this 757-nucleotide long non-coding RNA. RefSeq lists it as uncharacterized. Lineage: Eukaryota; Metazoa; Chordata; Actinopteri; Centropomidae. The record is from RefSeq and is a predicted model, not a curated record. The transcript has 5 exons.